Molecule: long non-coding RNA, 2226 nt
Organism: Erigeron canadensis
Lineage: Eukaryota; Viridiplantae; Streptophyta; Magnoliopsida; Asterales; Asteraceae
Exons: 2
Source: RefSeq, a predicted model, not a curated record
UUAGGUUUUUUUUCUUCAUAUCGUUUAUUGUCAAUUUUCCAUGAUUUAGGGCUUUUUUAGCUCAAAAUUUUUUUUUACUCACCAUUGAUAUAUAUAUAUAUAUAUAUAAACCAUCAACAAUGGCAGCAGGAGCACCAGCAUAGUCGCCUAAAAUUCCCAACUUUCAAUAGUUGAUUGGUUAUCUUGAAAUAAAUGGGGGUACCUUUUAGUUGUCUAUUUAUAUCGGCCUUCAUUUUGCAGUCAGUAUAUGCUUUGAUGUAUAACAAUUGACCCUUUUAUAUGAUCCGCGAGCUGGUAAGAUCGCCGGUGAGCUAUUAUGGACCCUUUCUGUCGCUUUCCUGUGAAUAUGACAUUAUGACCCCUUUUCGUCUGUAUCUUUCCGAUGUAACUGUGGAUCUUUUUCAUCAGUGUGCUUUUCGAUGUUAUGGAACUAUGGACCCUUCUGUCACCAUGUAAAUAUGGACCCCUUCUGCUAUUGGUAAUUUGAUGUUUGUGUCCCCUUUCGCCAGUAUACUUGUUGAUGCAAGAAUAGACCCUUUAUAUCUGACUUUUGAUUGUCUUUACACCUUGAACGUGUAAUAUCAUGAUGAUGUUCCAUGUUCUAUAUAUUGAUCGAUGGUUUGGUAGUUGUCUAAUAUCUCUGCUAUGACAUGUAAAUAAUCAGUCCCUUCAGUUAGUAUGCUUUAUGAUGUAGAUGUCCCUUUUUGCUGGAUUGUUUUAUGAUGCAAGAAUCGACCCUUCCUGUCAGCGAAACAUAUACUAAUUUUGUGGUCUUCACAUCUAAUAUUUACCCUAUGCUUUUAGAUGUGACCAACGGCUACUUUUUGCCAGUAUGCUUUAUGACCUGAGAAUCAACUGUCGUUUCUGUCAAGGAUUUAAUAAAUGGUCUUUAGAUGAUAGCAAUCACUUUUGUGUCAAAGUUGUCUUAUUUUAAAUGUUUGACAUGUAAACAGUCAACCUCCCUUCUCUUUUUCUGGAAGUAUGAUGAAUUGAUGAUACAGUUGUCCCUUUUUGCCUGAUGAAAGAUUCGGCUCUUUAUGUCAGUAUGCUAUCAGGCAUAAUGGUAUGGUAUUUAUGUCAGACUUGUGUUAUUGAAAUAUGUUCAUGUGUUAAUUGUUGGUUUGCCUCUAAAUACAGAGGAGAUGGACUCCGUAUAUUCACUUUGACGAGAUUCACAUUCUAGUUGGUGUAGGUCACCAAUUACACUUUCUUUUUUUGAAAAAAGAAAGUAUUCUCUGUUUUUUGUUGUUCAUUUCAUAAUAAAUUUGUUUAUCGAGUGUACUGGAGGUUCUGGUGCAGCAAUGCGUGCAGGAAUUGUAUGCUAUCAGGCAUAACGGUAUGGUAUUUACGUCAGACUUGUGUUAUUGAAAUAUGUUCAUGUGUUAAUUGUUGGUUGCCUCUAAAUACAGAGGAGAUGAACUCCGUUUAUUCAUUUUGAUGAGAUUCACAUUCUAGUUGGUGUAGGUCACCAAUUACGCUUUCUUUUUUUGAAAAAAGAAAGUAUUCUCUGUUUUUCGUUCAUUUCGUAAUAAAAUUGUUUAUCGAGUGUACUGGAGGUUCUGGUGCAGCAAUGCGUGCAGGAAUUGUUGGUGAGCUUCCACAUUAAAUCCAUAUAAAAAAGGAUCAUGCUCCAAAGAGUGUUUCGACCAGUAUUUUGUGAUCAGUCAUCUGCCAGUCUGUUGAAAAUCCAUACUACAACCUUCGUGAGUAGUUUGGACUUCAUCACGGGGUCAAAAUAUCUGAUGAUGUCUGCAGCAGUUCUUUUUAAUCGAUACAAAGCAGAAUGUUUUUUGCCUGAUAAAGGCACCUUGGACCAAACGGAUCGAGCAGUGUUGAGUGUUGACACUUGAGAUGGAGAAAAUAUCUCUAGAAAGCUAGUCUCAUAAAGCAUCCAAAAAAGAUCUGACUGAGAUUGAAAGUCAUUUAGAAUCCUUGAAAGCGAAACUAGUUCACUUACCAAUGGAAGCGUGAAAGCAUGCUGACGGCCAGUAAAAAAAGAGGUGAUUAACACACUCUUAAUUCAGGUAACAUCAAUUGCGGAGGCAAUUUCAUCCAGUUUACUUACCAACAGGUCAAUUUGGGUUGUGUUUAUGUAAAUGGUUCAAAUUAUAAGCAUAGCUUAAAAGUGAAGAAGUUGUUGCCCAAAGCCCCAAAGUCUAUAAUAAUGCAUAUACUUAUCUGCUAAUUCAACUAUAUCCAAGGAUUUAGAUCAUUAUUGACAUAGUA